GUAAUAACUCGUAAAUACUUGUA
This 23-nucleotide non-coding RNA is filed under the name Arabidopsis thaliana (thale cress). Lineage: Eukaryota; Viridiplantae; Streptophyta; Magnoliopsida; Brassicales; Brassicaceae. The record is from RNAcentral.